This 525-nucleotide ribosomal RNA is filed under the name uncultured bacterium. RNAcentral's name for it is "bacterial SSU rRNA". It matches the Rfam family "Bacterial small subunit ribosomal RNA", at positions 534 to 1057 of the family's 1533-position model. The record is from RNAcentral.
GCAAGCGUUAUCAGGAAUUAUUGGGCGUAAAGAGCUCGUAGGCGGUUUGUCGCGUCUGCUGUGAAAACUGGAGGCUCAACCUCCAGCCUGCAGUGGGUACGGGCAGACUAGAGUGCGGUAGGGGAGAUUGGAAUUCCUGGUGUAGCGGUGGAAUGCGCAGAUAUCAGGAGGAACACCGAUGGCGAAGGCAGAUCUCUGGGCCGUAACUGACGCUGAGGAGCGAAAGGGUGGGGAGCAAACAGGCUUAGAUACCCUGGUAGUCCACCCCGUAAACGUUGGGAACUAGUUGUGGGGGCCAUUCCACGGUCUCCGUGACGCAGCUAACGCAUUAAGUUCCCCGCCUGGGGAGUACGGCCGCAAGGCUAAAACUCAAAGGAAUUGACGGGGACCCGCACAAGCGGCGGAGCAUGCGGAUUAAUUCGAUGCAACGCGAAGAACCUUACCAAGGCUUGACAUAUACGAGAACGCUGCAGAAAUGUAGAACUCUUUGGACACUCGUAAACAGGUGGUGCAUGGUUGUCGUCA